RNAcentral lists this non-coding RNA (119 nucleotides) under Aulacoseira subarctica. The record is from RNAcentral. Lineage: Eukaryota; Bacillariophyta; Melosirophyceae; Melosirales; Aulacoseiraceae.
UUUUUUUUUUUUUUUUUUUUUAACAGUUUGCUGCUAUGUGUUCGCACUUUUCAAAGGUCAAAGGAGGUAUUCCCGGCGUGAGUUGGGGGCAGCUUUAUAAAGAACAUUUGAAAAAAAUA